UACCGGCGGCUCGAGUGGUGACCAUUUUUAUUGGGCUUAAAGCGUUCGUAGCUGGAUUGUUAAGUCUCUUGGGAAAUCUAACGGCUCAACCGUUAGGCGUCUAAGGGAUACUGGCAAUCUAGGGACCGGAAGAGGUGAGAGGUACUCCUGGGGUAGGAGUGGAAUCCUGUAAUCCUAGGGGGACCACCUGUGGCGAAGGCGUCUCACCAGGACGGCUCCGACAGUGAGGGACGAAAGCUGGGGGAGCAAACCGGAUUAGAUACCCGGGUAGUCCCAGCUGUAAACGAUGCAUGCUAGGUGUUGGGUUGGCCACGAGCCACCCCAGUGCCGCAGGGAAGCCGUUAAGCAUGCCGCCUGGGAAGUACGAUCGCAAGAUUGAAACUUAAAGGAAUUGGCGGGGAGCACCACCAGGCGUGAAGCCUGCGGUUU
This 429-nucleotide ribosomal RNA is filed under the name uncultured archaeon. RNAcentral describes it as "bacterial SSU rRNA". It matches the Rfam family "Archaeal small subunit ribosomal RNA", at positions 474 to 903 of the family's 1478-position model. The record is from RNAcentral.